UGAAAUAAUUGUUCUCUAAAACAGGUCUUAGAAAAUUGACAGGUUAUUUUCUAAUAAAAUUAUUUAAGAUCCUUUUUCUCGUCAUUAUCUAUUUUUUGAUUUAUAAAUUAUAAUAAUUGCCAGGUGGUGCUACAGUGCCCGCCACCAAUCGCUGCGGCGACGCCGCUUCCCCCAAAUGAACUUUAAAUCCUUUUCAAGCAAACUCGACCUGCGUUUGUGAAUAAACUGAAAUAUAUCGAACGGAAAAGUCUAGCAUUUCAUCGGUAGACUCGUCGAUCAUCUACAUUUUUGGGAAUGGAAGCUUAGUUUUCGAAGUGUAAAUUGCAAUCUGCGGGUUCCAGAAGAAACACCUUAUGCUUCUGAAGAGUGCGAAUUAUCGAAUAUGUCUUCUUAAUCAAUUGCUACUUUGCUACUCGUUCUAAACCCUCACUUCCGCGAAGGAAAACAAACCGAUCGCCGAUACGAUUCCAAUGCAUAUCCAACAGCUACAUCUCAAGGCCGAAGAACUACAAUCUCGACCUUCCAGCAGGCAUGACAAACUCCAGUGAAGCUUGAUAUCUGUCACAGAGAAACUAGAGUCAGGUCUACCCAUGGGAAGUACUAUCUUACAGGUAAAUGUCAAUAUUCUGAUCAUCAAUUAAUUGACUAUUAUCUUUGCUGAAUUUUUUGAGAUUCAUUGGUCUUCUAGCAUCCUGAUAAAGGUAGUAGGGAGCAUACUAGGUAACUUUUUAGUUUAUUUUUAUAUGUGAAUAAAAAGUAAGCUGAAUAGAAGUCUAGAAUAUAUAACUUUUAGUGUCAAAUAUAUGCCAUUCAAGUAUUCAACCAUGUGGUAGUCAUUAUUGGAAUCUAAAAAAGCUGUUACUUCCCUUUUUGGAUGCUCCUCAAGUCCAUAUAGGCCAGUGAUGUUUUGUCAGUAGAUAUGUCGAUAUUGCACUUAUGGUGCAUACUGUCUCCUUGAUUCCAGCCCUAGAGUUUUAACUGGAGUUUCAUCAAAAUCAUAAUGAAAUUUCCUGCAGUAAAUAGUAAUCUACUAUUCAAUCAAAGACAUAAAGUUCAUAUAAAGGUUUCCAUUUCACCAACAUUAUGUGGUUCAACUUCUCAAUCAUUAUUACUAUAAAGAUUCCAAUUCCACCUAUUUUUUGUUCAAGUUUUUCUUUUUUUCAGUGACAACUUUUUAAAGAUAACACACUAAUUAAUAUGCAAAUGACUAUAGAAUUAUGAUCCUUUUGGAAUUUCGAAAAUAGUACCAGUGAUGAAGCUCAAUUGUCUAUCCAUAAACUCAUGAAACUUGAUUCCAAUCCUUGUUAACUUGUAUAAAUGACUGAAAUACCCUUUCGAAACCUAUUAUUAACACUGCACUAUGCUGGUUUCUUUGUUUUCUGUUGUUAAAUUUAUCUUUUUACCUAAAGAUAGUCUUAAUUCUUAAAGAAGUUUCAUGAACAAGAAAUUAAUAAAAGGAUAAUUUAAAUACUUUGAGAAGUACUUAAAAAAGCUUCUUGAUCGAGAAAUCAAUUACAUUCUAAAUCAUUUGAUAGAUUUAGAAGCCAAACAAAAAUCUACAAAGUAUGAAAAUUUCACUCUAGAUUGUGUUACAAAUGUCAUUCAAGUCAUGAUAUAAGUCAUUAGAAAAGAGUAAAGGGAAAGAUUCCAAGUGGAGAGGCAUUUUGGCAUUUAAUGAAAUAAAUUCCACUAUUUUCAUGAUAAUGCCAAGUCACCCUUGACAAUGAACUUUAUAAGUAUCUUAUAGUUGUUGAUAUAGUCCAAUAAUACAUUAUAUCAUCAUGAUUUUAUAAUUUGAUUGGAAGAACAAAUGUGGAAUCUAUUUUGAUCCCAUGUGAUUAUUAUACUUUCCCUUACUUCAUAGCUUUAAACAUAUUAAAAUUAGUUUUGAACUAUUUUAAGUAUGUUUUAUUGUGUAAAAACACUCCUACAAGCCUACAAUAACAUGAACAAUAUCCUAAUAAGAAAAAGAAUUAAAGAUUGGAGAUUUCUCAAAGUAAAAUGCUUUAAUAAGAAAAAAAAAAUUGAAAAUACAAUGUUGUAAUUGUGACUUUGACUUUGACUUUUGGAGUAAAAAGGCUAUAUUUAGCUUGUUGAUUGAUUUAUAUAUUUAUUUUACAAAUUUACAAAGAGUCAAAGAACUUAAUAACUACAUUACACAAUAUAAACAACACUAUGUCAGAAAGAAAAAGAUUUUCUUAUAACUUUAAGAUAAUUUACAUCAAUUUAGAAUCAAUUAAGUGGCUUUUUGACUUUAGUAUUCGAAUCAAUAACCACUUAAUCUCAAAGAAUGAACUUUGACUCUUCCAAGAAACUUUGUUGACCCGAAUUCCCAAUUUUCCACUUCUUGCAUCCCCAAAAAAGUAAAAAAAAAAAAGAAAAUCCAAGUCAACUCCCGUGAUAAUUCGAGUCAAUGAUAUGGAGGUCAUGAUUUCUUUUUUUGUUUUUUGUUUUUUCAUUUUAAAAUUCCUCCACUACCACACGUUGCUUUGAAAGGUCAUUUUCGACUUUUCAAAAUAAUUAUGAUUUAUAUUUUUGGUCAUAAGUCGAAUAUACCCUUUUGAAAAAUUCUGUGGCCAGGAGCAAGGAUUGCUAAUGGGUCAUAAGCCAUUUUCCUCCGUUGAAAAGUCUCCCAUGUUUGACCAAAGUGGGCCCUCCACUCAUCUUGUGUGUGAAAAUGUGGUAAAUAUUGUUUGACUCCUAAGUGGGCUUCUUUGCAGAAAUCCAAGAUUUUUUUAUUCUGACUCAGUAAGUGUUGUAGACUAUCUUUUCCUUUGGUGGAUAAAGGAUUUGCUUGUGAUAGAAAUGCCACUAAGUAGAAUAUAUCUUCAUCUGGUAUUACUGCUGAACUCCUGUUGUUCCAUCUAAAAAAAAAAGUUUACAUAAGUUUCACUUCACCCCCCUGUAGACUUUUUCCUUUGCAAAACUACCCCCUCCGCUUCACUAAAUGUUUUUUGUAAGGAAUUGAAUCUCUCAACUCGUGAAAUUAGUUUAGAAAAAUUAAUAGUUUUACAUUUUUAUUUAUUGUAAACCUCAAAUUUAUUUUUUUGACUGAAAAAGACCUUGUAUAUUUUUAUUUUUUCCGAAAAAACCCUCAACUUUGUAUUUUUCUUGAAAAAAACCCUCAACCUUCUAAAUGCUUCUAAAUAAACCUUCGGCUUUUUUGGUUUUUCUUGAAAAGACUCACGUUUUACAAUUUAUUUUGGAAAAAAAUGUCUAUAAGGGCCAAAUUGGAAAAAAAUAAAAAAAAUACAAGGUCUUUUUUAUAGGAAAAAAAUAAAUUUGAGGUUUAAUCCGGGAAAAACAUAAAAUGUAAGGUCUUUUAUGAGAUUAACCCUUUUAUCUAUUGUAAUUAUAUAUAACUGAAUUUUUGUUGUUAUUUAUUUCAGUAUAUAGUAUAGGGUUAAUCUUAUAAAAGACUUUAUAUUUUGUGUUUUUUCCGGAUUAAACCUCAAGUUUAUUUUAUUUUUUUCCUGAAAAAGACCUUAGAUUUUUUCAUUUUUUCCGAUCUAGUCCUUUUAGUCAUUUUUUUUUUCAAAAAGGUUGAGGGUUUUUGCGGGAAAAACUAAAAAUGUUGAGGGUUUAUUCGGAAACAGUUAGAAGGUUGAGGGUUUUUUUCGGAAAAAAAAAGACAAAGUUGAGGGUUUUUUCUGGAAAAAAUGAAAAAACACAAGGUCCUUUUCAGGAAAAAAAAAGACAAAGUUGAGGGUUUUUUUUUGGAAAAAAUGAAAAAACAUAAGGUCUUUUACGAGAUUAACCCUAUAUUACAAGGGUAUUCUUGUCUUUCAAUAAAAAAAAUUGAAUCUCACAUUCCAAUUCCUUCAUAUUCCGUUAAAAUACGUAAACAAAUGAUGAAUGUAAUGUAUAUAAUAACUAACAAUAAUAACCCAGUUCCAUGCAUUCAACAUUCAUCAUUGUGUAAUUUUAUAAAGUAGAGGGGUUGAUUUGCCAAUCUGAAAUAGUACAAGGGCUAAAAAAAUUUACUUUGAUUUGUUGACUGGGUAAACAAGGACAGGCCCAUUGCUUGUAUCUGCUAAAAUCUUCCCAAAAACUUCAUCACCAAAUCUCUGAAUUUUACUACUUGGAACAAGAAGAUUUAGCCAUGGAUGUGGAACAUCCCAUAACCCUUUCGCUUGUAGUUUUAUCUCUGCUGUAUGUACUCUAUCCAAAAACUCUAUAUACGUAACUUCAGUCAUAAAAACAGUUGAUGGAAUAUACCUCAACUCAGAUAACAUGCUCUCAAUUUCCUGUUAUCAAUUUAAAAUCACUAACACUUUAAUAAAUCAAAAAUCAAAACUGGUUUGUAUUUCGUUCACAUUUAUCUCACCUCAUAAAUCUCACCAGUGUUAUCUGAUGGAUUGAAGUAUUUCGCCAAUUCAAGGCAAAAAAGGGUUUUUCCUUCCGACUUAAAUUGACUUGCUUCAUCAUCAUCUUUUGGGUUAAAAGAUGAUCUCCAAUUAUUGAGAAGACCUGUUCUGUUUAUAAUUACAAGUCCUUCUAUGUAAUCGAAUGAUUUUUUUGCUGAUAUUAAUCGCUCUUGAUCUCGAGUAAAUGUCGAAAAAUCUGAAUACAACACUCUGAUCCAUUUCACCUGUUUAUAUUGGAUUCAAUUAUUAGGUUAAAAAAAUUAGUUUCUAAAUCAAACCACAAAAUUGCUCAAAUAUAAUUCAAAUAUUCGGUAAACUUUUAGAUUUUGAAAAUUUCAAGGCGAAUUUAAAAUAAAAAAUUAAAAAAAAAAAACGUAACGUACUUUUGCGGUUUAACCACUUUUACUUUAUUUUUUCUGAUUAAACCAUACAAAAGUUUCCAACGUUUUUCCAAAUUAAUCAUUUUGACCAAAUAUAGGUCUCACUAUAAUUAACAAAAAGUAACCAUUUUGACCUGUUAUAUCAUAUAUGACUAUAUCAAGUCAAAACAGUUAUGUACGAAACCUUUAUCAUCAAUUAAAAAAAAAAAACUAUGUAUAAAUCCUUAAACCACAAACCCCCCCUUUUUUAUUUUCCCAUUUUUUUUAAUUACAUCAAAAAAUAAACAAAUUACCAUUUCCGCUGCCGGUUCAAGUAAAAUCCUUGCCCGUGUAAUUAUCCCAAACUGCCCAAGCCCUCCAAGAACACCAUUAAAAAGAUCCGCAUUCUUUUCUUCUGAACACGUCACCACCUCUCCCUUUCCUUCAUCAUAUUACAUAAUUACUCAUUACAUUUUCUAAUUUUUAUAACAAAAAAAAAAUUAUUUUUAUAUUUUAUACAAACCUGUAACAACUUCAAGUUGUUGGACAUUACUAAUCUGAGGACCAUGCCGAAACGCCUGACCACUAAUCCCCGCAUUCGACAACGUCCCUCCAACCGUCAAAUGCAAAUAAUCAGUCCAAGAUUUUGGCGCGAAUCCAAACUUCAAACUCUCCUUCAAAAUAUUAAUCCACAACUCCCCUCCCGAAACAUCAACAUAUCCAAAAUCAAAACCAAAUUCAAAUUCCAUUUUCGGUUUCUUCAACGACUCCAUAUUCACCACAAUCCCUCUGUGCGCCUGAGCCUGACCCUGAAUCGAGUGUCCGUGCCCCCUGGCUGCAACCGUGAGCCCAGACCCAACCCCGAGGUCCCACACAUGGCUCACGGUUGCAGAUAUGUCAGACACUGACUCAGGGUGCAGGACUGCAAAAGGAAGGAAUUGAAAUUGGUUUCCGUAAUCUUUCGCCGCGAAUUCGUUGUCGGUGAAAGUGAAAUGCCCGUCGAUACGUAAAUCCGGGAGUGAAAAUUGGGUGUUGGAAAAACAGAGGUUUAGUUGGAUUGCUAAGAAACUUAGCAACAUGAUUGUGAAACUAAUGCUUCUUAUGAAGAAUGAUAAAGAUCUCAUUCUUUUUUUUUUUCUGGCUAGAAAUAAAGAAAAGAGGAGGGGAUUUAAAGAGAUUUGAUAAGGAUCCGUGUGUAGACUGUCUCCUUUAAAAGUUUCUGACUCCCAAGGGGGUGCCUUUUUAGCUUCCUUUUUCAUGGAAAAAGUCACAAGAAAAAAGAAAGAUUUUGCAAUCUUUGCACUUAUUUGGUUACAGUUACAACCAUAUUUUUAACUUCCUUUUUACUAUCUAUUUGCCAAUUUUUAGGAAAAAGAUACAUUCUUACAUAGUUACAGGUGUCUAAAGAUUAGUCGCGGUUUAGUUUUAGUUUUGAUUUGCUGGAAUUAAAAUGGCAGUGUGGGGUCCACGAAAUCAUGCGAAUUUCAAUAAAGUUUUUGGGACCUCUUUCAACCAAUGGUGUAUGGACAAUUGAAGUGAUGACAGGUCAUUAGAAGACAUAGAUAUCUGUUGCCCAUAAUCACCCAUAUGCUUUAGUUUUAAUCCAAGAUGAUGUGAUGAAUGUACAAGUGUUGAUGCAUAGGGUACAAGUGGAGUAGUGAGGAGUAAGGACAUAUCUUUGUGAAUGAUAAGGGGGACAAGUGGGGUGAGAUUGUAUGCCACUAUGAAAGAUGAGAUUGGCUAGGUGCCCACUAAUGGGGUCCUCUAGAAGUUGGUGAUAAUAACCAUUAACCAUAGAUGCUAAAGAAAAAGAGUUGGUAGGAUUUAGACUGAUUUAGGAUUUUGCUAAUUAAGAUUACUAGUAAUCAUGGAUGUUUUAUCUAAUCAUGUUACAUGUCUAACUUUCAAUUCAUUCUACUUGAUGUUGUUUUGUCUGAUUCACACUCCAUCAAAAUCUAAUUUGAUUUUGAUAUCAUCUCUCCAUUCAUGUCUCACAUAUCACACAUUGUACUUGGACACAAAAAUAAAUCCAUCUCUACCAAAUCUUCACUUGUCUGUAACAGUCUAUUUAUUUCGUUAUUCCUAUUGUUACAACUUAUUCAUAAAUAAUGUUGAUUUUGACUAAUAAAGUUAUAGGGUAUUAUUUUAAGAUGAUUUUGUUGCUAAUAAUAUAACUGUUGGUUAUCUCAUGUUUAUCUAGAAAUUAUUUUCUUAACUCAUAAACUUUCUUUUCGUAAUUAUUACUUUAUUUUAAUGCAUGUGUAUGUCGUGCAAAUGAUGAAAGAUACCAUCCAUAUUCAACGGUGGCUUUUAUUACCACCGUUUAUUCAUUAACAUCAUUUUUCUUAUUCCCUUAGACCAGACAUAUUCCAACUAGAUCCUCAUCGACCCACAUACAUAUAUAAACACAUACAAAACCAUUAAAAAAUAUAUUUUGUGAUGUUAGUAUAAAAAUAAAGAAUUGAAUUAUUAGUAUAUAACUAUAUAUACAAAUUUUGGUUUAGCUUAAUUAUAUUUGAAAAUGUAACUGAUACCCGAAUCCAAUUGCAUUUUGAGUUGGCCAGUUAUUUAUACGGAUACCCUAAUUACAUAAUUAAGAAAAAUAAUAAUUACAUAACUAAGAAAAAAAGAAGCAACCAAGACACUUUAGCAAAGAAACGUGGGGACUAGAAAGAAGAAGAAAGAGUAAGUGGACAUAUAAAAUGAAUAAAAAAUGGCAACCAAUUUGAUUAAUAGAAGCUUAUGUUUAUAGUCAACAUAUGCCAUCAAAUAGAAACGAAAAUUUUUUAAUAUAUCAACUUGUUUUGUACUUGAAAGAUGUAUGAAAUGAAGCCUUGAAAAGUGAAAACUAUAGUGAAAACCACGAAAUCCCUUAAAAAUGCUAAAAAAAAAACGAAAAUUCUAUAAUUUAUCAUGGAUGCCCACUAAAACUAUUAAAAUGAUAUAAGAAACAUAAUUAAAAUUUUAUAGAAGUUGGUGAUUGGUGAAUGAAAACAAGAUGAAUAUUACUUAUGAUGGGAGU
Non-coding RNA from Lactuca sativa (garden lettuce), 7748 nucleotides. The record is from RefSeq and is a predicted model, not a curated record. NCBI's taxonomy places the organism in Eukaryota, Viridiplantae, Streptophyta, Magnoliopsida, Asterales, Asteraceae.